RNAcentral lists this ribosomal RNA (484 nucleotides) under uncultured bacterium. RNAcentral describes it as "bacterial SSU rRNA". It matches the Rfam family "Bacterial small subunit ribosomal RNA", at positions 29 to 524 of the family's 1533-position model. The record is from RNAcentral.
AGUGAACGCUGGCGGCAGGCCUAACACAUGCAAGUCGAACGGCAGCACAGCAGUAGCAAUACUGUGGGUGGCGAGUGGCGGACGGGUGAGGAAUACAUCGGAAUCUGCCUAGUCGUGGGGGAUAACGUAGGGAAACUUACGCUAAUACCGCAUACGACCUACGGGUGAAAGCGGGGGAUCGCAAGACCUCGCGCGAUUAGAUGAGCCGAUGUCCGAUUAGCUAGUUGGCGGGGUAAUGGGCUCACCAAGGCGACGAUCCUUAGCUGGUCUGAGAGGAUGAUCAGCCACACUGGGACUGAGACACGGCCCAGACUCCUACGGGAGGCAGCAGUGGGGAAUAUUGGACAAUGGGCGAAAGCCUGAUCCAGCCAUGCCGCGUGAGUGAUGAAGGCCUUAGGGUUGUAAAGCUCUUUCGCCAGGGGAAGAUAAUGACGGUACCUGGAAAAGAAGCCUCGGCUAACUCCGUGCCAGCAGCCGCGGUAAU